This 643-nucleotide ribosomal RNA is filed under the name uncultured bacterium. Its description in RNAcentral is "bacterial SSU rRNA". It matches the Rfam family "Bacterial small subunit ribosomal RNA", at positions 201 to 847 of the family's 1533-position model. The record is from RNAcentral.
UGAAAGAUUCAUCGGUGGCGGAUAGGCUCGCGGGACAUUAGCUAGACGGCGGGGCAACGGCCCACCGUGGCGACGAUGUCUAGGGGUUCUGAGAGGAAGACCCCCCACACUGGGACUGAGACACGGCCCAGACUCCUACGGGAGGCAGCAGUGAGGAAUAUUGGUCAAUGGGCGGAAGCCUGAACCAGCCAUGCCGCGUGAAGGACUAAGGCCCUACGGGUCGUAAACUUCUUUAGACGCAGAGCAAUAAGGUCCACGAGUGGACCGAUGAGAGUAUGCGUAGAAUAAGCAUCGGCUAACUCCGUGCCAGCAGCCGCGGUAAUACGGGGGAUGCGAGCGUUAUCCGGAUUCAUUGGGUUUAAAGGGUGCGUAGGCGGCCGAGUAAGUCAGCGGUGAAAGACCGGGGCUCAACCCUGGAAGUGCCGUUGAUACUGUUUGGCUGGAAUGAUCCCGCCGCGGGAGGAAUGAGUGGUGUAGCGGUGAAAUGCAUAGAUAUCACUCAGAACACCGAUUGCGAAGGCAUCUCGCGAGGGGUCAAUUGACGCUGAGGCACGAAAGCGUGGGGAUCGAACAGGAUUAGAUACCCUGGUAGUCCACGCGGUAAACGAUGAUGGCUAACUGUCGGGCCUGCGGGUUCGGCGGC